AACGAACGCUGGCGGCGUGGAUUAGGCAUGCAAGUCGAGCGGGAUCCUUGAGGUUCGAUUCUUCGGAAGAGAACCUCCUGGUGAGAGCGGCGAACGGGUGAGUAACGCGCGGGCAAUCUGCCCCCGAGCCGGGAAUAGCCCUCCGAAAGGAGGGGUAAUUCCGGAUGUGGUCGCCCCGGACAUCCGGGGCUGUCUAAAGGUGGGGAUCCUUCGGGACCUGCCGCUCGGGGAUGAGCCCACGUCCUAUCAGCUUGUUGGUGAGGUAACGGCUCACCAAGGCUUAGACGGGUAGCUGGUCUGAGAGGAUGGUCAGCCACACUGGGACUGAGACACUGCCCAGACUCCUACGGGAGGCUGCAGUCGAGAAUCAUUCGCAAUGCGCGCAAGCGUGACGAUGCGACGCCGCGUGCAGGAUGAAGGCCUUCGGGUUGUAAACUGCUGUCAUGAGGGAACAACGGUCCGGCUGCGAAUACCAGCCGGGAGUGAUAGUACCUCAAGAGGAAGCCACGGCUAACUCUGUGCCAGCAGCCGCGGUAAUACAGAGGUGGCGAGCGUUGUUCGGAAUUACUGGGCGUAAAGGGUGCGCAGGCGGCCGCGUGUGUCGGAUGUGAAAGCUCACCGUUCAUCGGUGAAACGGCAUUCGAAACUGCGCGGCUAGAGUACAGCAGAGGAGAGCGGAAUUCUCGGUGUAGCGGUGAAAUGCGUAGAUAUCGAGAAGAACGCCGGUGGCGAAGGCGGCUCUCUGGACUGAUACUGACGCUGAGGCACGAAAGCUGGGGGA
RNAcentral lists this ribosomal RNA (781 nucleotides) under uncultured organism. Its description in RNAcentral is "bacterial SSU rRNA". It matches the Rfam family "Bacterial small subunit ribosomal RNA", at positions 28 to 767 of the family's 1533-position model. The record is from RNAcentral.